CUAAACCCCUGAGUUGCCGCCGAGCUCUCCUCCCAGUCGAAUCAGCCUGCUGCAAGAAUGUGCUUGCGUGAUACUUAAUCCCUUACUGGGAGCCCAGAUAGGGUUUCUUGCCAGAACUAGAAAUUGCCUUUUACAAAUUCCCCUUCCUAAGCAAGCUAUGAUAGCCCCCAUGUGGGGCCAGUAACACCCUAUCAGUGUAUUUUUAAACAAGAGCAAAGGGCUCCACCUUGUAUCAUAAAUUACGGUAACAUCACUUCUAACCACAGAGGCGCAGUUCACAAGAGCAGAAACAAUCUAUUUCAGGAUCUCAGGGGUACGUAGUUGCAUAUUCUAGUUGUGAGUGCCUCUGGUUGUGCCGUGUGGGACACCACCUCAACAUGGCCUGAUGAGCAGUGCCAUGUCCAUGCCCAGGAUCUGAACCAGUGAAACCUUGGACCACCAAAGCAGAGCACACGAACUUGACCACUCAGUGUUGGGGCUGGCCCAACAGAGACCCUCAGACUCUCUGGCUUCCGCUUGGGUUUGGCCAAUGAAGACACUUGCAGGAGACUGGCGGAAGGAGGCAAGCGAGAAACGGGACUAGAAGUGCCGCAAUCUCAUCAGAAAAUGCAGCUUCCGGUGGUAUUUUUCACCAGGAACAGAAGCAGAAGUGUGCAGAAUCACCCGAGAAAGCCCCAGCUCUCCUGAGAGCCGUUCUCGAAUUUUGCUGGCACAGAGCACUGGGAGGUGAAUUGCAAUGUCAGCGCCUGGAAAUUGGGACUCAGACUCCUUAAACUCUCUUCUCACAAGGGUGUCUCUGCCUCCAUCGUUUCUGCACGUGCUAAAGGCAGAAGAAGAGGCAGAGGCUGCUGCGUCUCCUGGCAGGCGGGCCAGUUGGAACAAAGACACCAGCGGGGCCACCUCGGAAAGCAAUCUGGAGAAGUCCCAGCAAACAGCAUUUAGGGGAAGGGGAAAAACGCCUGUGGACCUGAUAAUGCAUCACGUCCCAUUGUUAAGGAGGCAAAAAGCAGAAAUUUACCUUGAAGGCUCAUGGGAGUUUGAUUUCCCUGGAAAGACAUGACCCACAUUUCUCACGGAUUGUGGGUCAAUAUUUGACCAUCUCCUCUUAUUUUCUCAUCUUCGUGUUUAAGAUUUAAAAUACAAGUACUAUGUAAUCUCUUUAAAAGAUUCAAACAGUAUAAAAUUAAGGCCUAAACUCAACUGGAACAACCCUUUUCUGCCAUUACAGAGAAGUCUGUGGAGGGAGCUUCCCAGUGCUGUCAGGAUCAAGUCCAAGCUUGGGUGUUUCAGCACGGCUAAAAUCCCCCGCCGGACCUGGCCCCCUGGAGGCUCACCAGGAGCAACGGUCCCUCUUCUGUGGGCGUGGUUUCGAGGCUCAGAUGAAGUAACGCCUGUCACGCUGUUCCUUGGUCCUUGACAUGGAGGAGGGGAUCAACACGUGGGAGCUCUGUCGCUAAGACCUGGGAUCUGCUGGGAAUCAGGGAGGCCAACUAACUCAGCUACCCAGUGGUUCUCAACCGGGGAUGGGGGAGGAUUUUGCCCCCAGGCGCACUGGCAAUAUCUGGAGACGUUUUUGGUUGUCACAAUGUGGGGAGAGUGCUACUGGCAUCUAGUGGGUGGAGGUCAGGGAUGCUGCUAAAUACCCUGCAAUGCACAGGUCAGCCUCCUCCAUCCCCACCCCACCCCCACCCUCCCAUGACAGAGAAUUAUCUGGACCAAAACGUCACUAGGGCUGAGGUCAAGAAACACUGGAUGAGGCCACCCGGAAGAAGCUUCCCUCUUCUAUGCUCCAGAUCAAAUCCAUCGCCACUUCAGUUUCUCUGCAUGCCACUGUCUCUUGCUUGAGUGUACUAAAGUGGCCUAGUCUUUUCUCCAGGAGCACGCUUCCUACAGAUCUUCAACGGCUGGUUCCUCGUUCAAACGUCCCUCCCCAGGAAGCCUUCUCUGACCACCCACUGCAAGGCUGCUCCCGCCCUCCCUGGUUCUCCUCCUGUAGGCAGCCUAUUCGUUUCCUUCUAAUAUCUAUCACCAUCAGAUGGGACAUUUAUUUUCUUAGUUGAUCAGUUGAUUGUCUCCUGCACUCGAAUGUGAGCACCAUGAAGAGGAAGAGUCAGGUCUGUCUUGAUCAGGGGUUUGUAAACUACCACCUGUGGGCCAGAUUUGGCCCUUUGCCUCUUUUUGUAAAUAAAGCUUUAUUGGAACAAGCUAUGCCCGUUCUCUCAUGUAUUGUUGCUUGUGGUUGCUUUUGCUCUCCAACAGCAAACUUGAGUAGUUGUGAUAGACACUGAGCAGCCCGCAAAGCCAAGAUAGUCACCCUUUUCAGAAAAUGUGUGCCAACCCUGGUUGUGGUUAUUUGUCUAGUGCAGUGCCUGGCACAUAGUGGGCACUCAGCAAAUACUGAUCGAGUGUUUACUCAGUACCCUUAAUCCCACCUAAUCCUGCUUAGCACUCCAUGAGGUAGAUUCUAAUAAGGGUCCACAAACCUGAAACUUCCGAAGCCAUACUUUUAAAAACCAAAUUUGGCAGCAAAACCUGAUCUGAUCUGACCUGUUUGGCUGCAGAAUAUGCCUUGAACAAAUGCGAGGCUGUCGAUUGCCUAUAUUUCUCUCACUAAUUUGACCUUUGUGUGUUUCUCUGCAGACGUGUCGAUGAGGCAGAUUGAGGUGCUGCCCCAGGCCUCGCAGGCAAUGCUGUGUCCCAUACGGUAUAAGCAUCGCAUCACAUUUCUAAAAUCUCAAAAUUCUGAAUUCCAAAGCAUAUUCCACUAUAAGGGUUUGGACAAGAGAUUUGGAUGUGUAGUUUUCUUUAUUUUAAAGCUGAGGAAUGGAGAGACCAAACCAAAUAACAAUGCUUGUGAAUGGCAGGACCCAGAUUUGAAUCUCGGAUCUGAUCCCUGAGUUGUGGCUGUACCCGCUAGGCUCUCUCAGGAGAGGCGGGCUGGUGCUUGUUCACUGGAUGAAUUAAGGGGUUGACGAAGCUGGCUGGGCCUUGUUCUCACCCCUGGGCUGGUUUGCCCGCUACUCGGGAGGUUCCUGCCUUUCCUCUGUCAGAACAUCUUUCCAGGCCAAGUAUUGCAGCUGUAAAUGUGCAUGCAAAACACACAUGCACGCACACACACACUCACACACAUGUGCACACACACGUACAACUCAAAAAAGGAGCUACAUACUAUUAUAGUUUCUGCAGAUUUGUGGUCACUGUUGUUCUGAGCAAUCUCAUCUUUAUGAAUCAGGUGACAAAACCCACUAGUAACCAGGCAGGGGAAAGAAAACAGAUGCUUUUCCAGUCAGGCAGGAUGGAGCUGAGCAGUUGUCACUGUGGUUAAACCUCUGCCUCCAGGAAGACACAGCCCCUUGUAAAAAAUUAUUGCUGUUCUCUCUCUGGUUUUGGGAGCUGCC
Long non-coding RNA from Equus caballus (horse), 3398 nucleotides. The record is from Ensembl. NCBI's taxonomy places the organism in Eukaryota, Metazoa, Chordata, Mammalia, Perissodactyla, Equidae.